UACCGCAUAACCCGCUAGGGCCGCAUGGCCCGGACGGAAAAGAUUUAUCGGUGUGAGAUGGACCCGCGUUGGAUUAGCUAGUUGGCAGGGUAACGGCCUACCAAGGCGACGAUCCAUAGCCGGCCUGAGAGGGUGAACGGCCACAUUGGGACUGAGACACGGCCCAAACUCCUACGGGAGGCAGCAGUGGGGAAUAUUGCACAAUGGGGGAAACCCUGAUGCAGCGACGCCGCGUGAGUGAAGAAGUAUUUCGGUAUGUAAAGCUCUAUCAGCAGGGAAGAAAAUGACGGUACCUGACUAAGAAGCCCCGGCUA
This 314-nucleotide ribosomal RNA is filed under the name uncultured bacterium. RNAcentral describes it as "bacterial SSU rRNA". It matches the Rfam family "Bacterial small subunit ribosomal RNA", at positions 167 to 499 of the family's 1533-position model. The record is from RNAcentral.